CUUCAUCGAGCCGAGCAGCAGCGGCGCCCCGGCGGGCCGCUCCCGGCCGUAGGUGGCGAAGAGCGCCUGAGCCUC
Molecule: antisense RNA, 75 nt
Filed under: Streptomycetaceae bacterium MP113-05
Lineage: Bacteria; Bacillati; Actinomycetota; Actinomycetes; Kitasatosporales; Streptomycetaceae
Description: ASpks TB sRNA
Rfam family: ASpks TB sRNA
Source: Rfam by way of RNAcentral